RNAcentral lists this ribosomal RNA (460 nucleotides) under uncultured bacterium. Its description in RNAcentral is "partial 16S ribosomal RNA". It matches the Rfam family "Bacterial small subunit ribosomal RNA", at positions 338 to 795 of the family's 1533-position model. The record is from RNAcentral.
CCUACGGGGUGCAGCAGUGAGGAAUAUUGGUCAAUGGGCGCGAGCCUGAACCAGCCAUGCCGCGUGCAGGAAGACGGCUCUAUGAGUUGUAAACUGCUUUUGUACAAGGAUAAACCUAAAUACGUGUAUUCUGCUGAAAGUACUUUACGAAUAAGGAUCGGCUAACUCCGUGCCAGCAGCCGCGGUAAUACGGAGGAUCCAAGCGUUAUCCGGAUUUAUUGGGUUUAAAGGGUGCGUAGGCGGAUUGAUAAGUUAGAGGUGAAAUGUUCGAGCUUAACCCGGGAACUGCAUUUAAUACUGUUGAUCUAGAGAGUAGAUGCGGUAGGCGGAAUGUAUGGUGUAGCGGUGAAAUGCUUAGAGAUCAUACAGAACACCGAUUGCGAAGGCAGCUUACCAAUCUAUAUCUGACGUUGAGGCACGAAAGCGUGGGGAGCAAACAGGAUUAGAUACCCUAGUAGUC